AGGGCGGAACGGCACAGCACUAAACAGGUUGCCAUGGCAGCGGGAGCAGCGUCAAGCCUCGGCGUGCCUGCGUUGCUGGGAGACCUUGGGGCUCAGGGGACUUGGCCCCUCUGGCUAUUUUGAGCCUCAGGAUGAGCUUUCAAGUAAGGUUUCAUUUGGCACGUGUGUGUCUGCGCUCACUCACACUGCGUGUGCACGUAAAUGGUUCAGCUACCUGCGGUCAUCUCUUGUGCUAGUACAUUCCACUGGCUGUCUGUUUUGAAGAAAAGGCAUACAGACAUGGAUUCUGCAUUCCUGGUUUGCAUCCCUCAGUUCUCCGUGCUCCGCCUUUGGGGAACAUAGAAUGUCGUCUAUCCUGCAUGUUUGAAAAGCAGUUUAAGGUUCAGUCCAUCGUCAUCAUGGCAGGAAGCAUGGCAGCAUCCAGGCAGACAUGGCACUGGAGAAAGGAACUGAGAGUUCUACAUCUUGUUCAGAAGACAAACACAAGACUGGCUUCCAGGCAGCUAGGAGAAAGGUCUCAAAGUCCACCCCCAAAGUGACACACUUCCUCUAAGAAAGUCACAUCUAAUUAUGCCACUCCCUGGGACAAGCAUACUUAAGCCACCACAUAGAGUUUGAGAAAUCAGGUUUGUCAGGCAAGGUCCAUAUCAUCGUCAAAUGUCUCCCAGUACUCCUGCCUUCAGUGACAGGGAGAGAGAUCUCAGCUUUGAGAGAGUUUCAGGGCCACACAGUAAACACAGGGCCACAGGAAAGACAGGCAGUUCCCUGGACUGUUGCCAUGGUCGUGUCCCAUCUCAAGUAGAUUCUCACCGUGUCUCUUACCCACCUUGGGCUCCUUUGAUUGGAAAUGAAGAGGCAUCUGCUUCUCUGUAAGCAGCAAGACAUACGGGCUCCCGAGUCACUCGUCACUUUCCCUGCUGAUAACAUCCCCAAGGGCUGCAGAUCCACAUUUAUGUUCACAUUGUAAAUGAAUGAUGGAUUCAGAGUAAAUGAAGCAUUGAGCUUGUUAAUGAAACAAAACAUUCACACCUGGUAAAAGUGGGCCUUUCAGCUCGGCUCACAGACUGUCUAUUCUUGGGGUUGUAUUUGAGAGAGUUCCUUCAUGUGGUUGAUUCUCUAUUUAGGUAGUAAGUAUGUUGUUUAAGAAAGUGUUGUCAUGUCUACCUCUUAGGACAUGUCCGUCUCCUAAAAACACCCUGCCACGUGGAAAAUGACCCCUUUUCAGUGGGGUGGGAGAUAGCUAAAACCAUGAAGAAACCAACAGCUUCCAUGACUGAAGGACUGUGUUCUUUGAAGAGAGUUUAAGGACUUUUGAAGUUAAUACUAUAUUCAUGUCUGUUAGUUGUGAGAACCUGCCCCAAGGAGUCAGUCUUCAACACGAUUCUUAUGCAGCCAACUCAGGCAGUUGACUUGGAGUUUUUAUUUUCUCUAUCUAAAAUACAUAAUUGCCCAGAAAUAAUUUGGUUGUGCAAUUAUACAUUGACUAGUAAGAAGUUAAAGCCCUGCAUUUGGAAAGUUUGGUAUCUCAUUCAUCGUUUUUAAGUAACAGUGAAACUGAUCAUAUUCAUAUUUAUCGUUCAGUCAUUAACACUAUCCACCUCCAGUACCCCACUAGCAAAGCCCAGCUCCCAUAGCCAUCCAAAGCCCCGCCUCUUCAGCCAUUCAAAGCCCCGCCUCCAAAACCUUUCAAAACCCGGCCUCCGUAGCCCUCCAAAGCCCCGCCUCCAAAGCCAUCCAAAGUCCCGCUUCCAUAGCCAUGCAAAGCCCUGCUUCCAUAGUCCAGCACUAAUUCCCUACAACAAUGGUUGUCUUCUGUCGUUCUAGACAGAUUUGAUGACACAAGGAGCCUCAGGAGAUGCGCACUCAUGGCUGUCUCAUUCUACCUGGAUUAUUUCACUUAUAUGAUGUCAUUAAACUUCAUCCACGUUGCA
Molecule: non-coding RNA, 1931 nt
Organism: Rattus norvegicus (Norway rat)
Lineage: Eukaryota; Metazoa; Chordata; Mammalia; Rodentia; Muridae
Source: RefSeq, a predicted model, not a curated record